RNAcentral lists this long non-coding RNA (4590 nucleotides) under Gallus gallus (chicken). Lineage: Eukaryota; Metazoa; Chordata; Aves; Galliformes; Phasianidae. The record is from RNAcentral.
CCGGGGGGCAGCGGGAUGCGGCCGCGGGCCGCGCCGUCGGGCGCCGGGGUGCGGAGGAGGCGACGGGCUCCGGUCCCCUCGCCCCUUACCUUGCUGCGGAUCUGGCCCGAGGUGGACACUUUCCGGAUGAGUUUCUGGGGGCCCUCGUGCUCCCCUUCGCUGUCCGACGACUCGUCCGCCGCCGCCGCCGGGUGCUGGGGCUGCUGCUGGGGCUGCUGCUGGAUCCCGGCGCCGCUCAUCCCCGCCUCGGCCCCGGCCAUCUUCCCGGACUCCUGCCGAGAGAGAGCACACGAGCCCGGCUCAGCCCGGGCAGCCGCUGCCGCUCCCCUCCCCGGGGAGGAGGGAGGAGGCGGCCGGGAGGGUGGGGAAAGGGGCGGCGCGGGGGGGAGGGACGGAGCCGAGGAAGAGCCGGGCCCCGCUGGUGGGGCCGACCGCUUGGCCGCCAUCUUCCGCCGCCCCCUCCGACGGCCCGGCCCGCCGGCAGCCGCUCCGGGCUCGGAACGGGCCGGGGCGGGCAGGUCCGGCCCCCGAGCCCUCACGGCCGCGGGGAGCGCCGAGCGCGGCUAAAGAUGCAGCGGGCGGGCGGCGAGAGCUGAGGGGCCGGGCGGGCGGCGCCCCCAGGGACGCGGAGGGGAACGGGCCCCAACCCAGGCGCAGCCACGCGUGGGCACUGUCCAGGGGGCUCAGCCCAGCGGCCUGGCACGGGGAGUGGGGCACCUGUGCAGGUGCGGUGGGGAGGUGUGCGGCUGUGCUCCGUGUGUCACAGGCGUCCGGCACUGAAAAGCAAGAAGGCAGCGUGCCUAACGGGAUGCAGCGACUCGGAACGGGCCGUGGUUGUUCUCUCACAUCCGUUUGAUUUUGGUAUUAUUUUGCUCGCAGUUGUAGUCUCCACAUAAGAGUGGUCCUCUGGAGCGGGGAGAAAAGGGUGGCUUCUCCCUUCUCAAGGCAGAUCUGGCAGCUCCCAGGAUCUCGAAAUGUCACCACAUGUUCUGAAUUGUGGGGCUCUGAAACGACUGCGGCUUUGCGUGUAGUCAGUGUUCCAAAUAAGCACUCGGUCUCAGCAAUACCAAAUAAAACACGCGGGUCCCAACUGCAUGGAGCGGAUUAGAGAUGAGAAAGCAGGCAAUACUUGCGGCUUCUCUGUUCCCGCAGUUCUAUUUAUAUUGCUCGAAAGGGAACUGCCAUCUCUCAAUGAGCUAAUACAAGUGCCACGGUACCUAAAUACGGAGCAGCAAAUGAGAAACAAAAGCGAAACCGUAACACAGAACCCAUCCUAUGUUGCCAACGCCGUGCCGUGAGCUGGAUUUUGUACGUUGGAAUAUCCCUCUUCCUUCAUUGGGACUUUCAUCUGUAGUAGGUGAAAUGAAAGAUCCACGUGAAGCCACGCAGGUGUUGUAUCCUAUGUAGGUGUCACCAAAUCAGGUGCUUCUGUGAGGUUCCGCUGCCCUUCUCUAUGUAGGAUCGCUUCUUUUAAGGUAUGUUUUAAAGGAAUUGUGAGUACCUCAUGUUUCUUAUUACAGUAAUAACCGGGCCUAAGUCCUGCCGCCAGUACCACACCUGAAAGUAGAUGAGGUUCUCACGUAGUUCCUUCUCCUCACUCAUCUCAUUCUUCCCCUGAGAGAGCUCUUCUUUCUCAAAAACAUGAGAUAAAACUGGGGCAAGGGCAAGCGUGCGAAGAAUUCACUUCGGACACAGAUAAGAAGAAAGGGUGAGAGAGGAGCUUAGAGACACUUAGUCACCCCAGCUGCCUUCCUUCCUCUUCCUCCUCUCCAGCAACUUCAGAACAGCAGAUUACCCCAGAACAUGGCUUGCUCACUGCAACUAGCAGAGCCUUCUGAAGGUGAAUGACAACUGAGCACUGCAACUAGGUGACAAGACGGUGUGCUAAUUAAUGCUAAUGCAGUCUGCGUAGGGCUGGGACUGCGAUUUGAGGAACGCUGGGUGCUGAUGGAAUACAACGCUCACUGACUCCAUUUAAUUCCACUGAAUUAAGCAGCGCUUAGAUGAACAACACUAUUACUGUUAAAUUUGCUCCCAUGCUAAAAAAGCAUUCAAAAUAUCGGUACAUGUGACAGCUGUGUCUCCACCACAUGACCAUCCUGUGCAAAGCUGAGUGCAAAAUUGUUUACAAGCAAGCGUUUCACCCACCUUCCAGAAUUAAGGUGAAAAGGAGAGACAUUAUCCGUAAUUUGGGAUGAAUAUCUUUGAAUUUAGGGAGGUCACAAAGUUGGCUCAAUUGGUGACCUGAAGUUUGCACCAUCAGGAGAUUUUGUUUUUAAGAAGCAUAAAAUGUAACUUGUUUGCUGCAUGUCUCCUUAGGUAUCUGCAUAGACAGCUCAGGUUUCCUUCACUACACUGCAUUUCAAAUGCAUAAAAGCUGUUAAAUGAACGUCUGUAGGUGAAAUGGGCAAUGCAAAUGGGCAGUAAAGAUGGCUCUCCAGCUUCUGUUUCCAUUCUGAGCUUAACUAUGAGCCCUAGCUCCUGCACAGUGCAUCAUGCAAAGAAGGGUGUCAUCCAUCCCCACGUGGACAUCCCCGUUGCCACCCUCCUCUCCACUGGUUGCCAAAACCCAAAAACCACCGAAUCACAGAAUGGCUUCGGUUGGAAGGGACUUUAAAGGCCAUCCAGUUCCAGUGACAAGGGGAGGGCACGGGGUGCCUGUCACUCUGUCUUAAGUCUCUUCCACUUUGUCUCGAUGAACUUCAGAACUGAAGCACUGGAAACGCUCUCUCUUCUCACAUAAGGUGGAGAGUUCGGUGGGAACAACCAAACUCAGCAAAUAACAGAAAUGCCCCACAAGCACAGUCUGAGGUAAAGCUGCCUGAGGUGUCCCUGGGACUCUCCUUGGAUGAGGACUGCUGGCUGACUCCAUCACUGCAUCUUACCCGAGUGACUGAUGCCAGGCUCAAUGUGAGAAGCACCAUACAGCAGAUUUCAUCUUGGGGAACACAGGUAUGGAUGCUGUGGUAUGAGUGGCACCACUGAAAUCCUCCAGACUUCUACAAGCUCUGAGUCAGGCUCCCGAAGAGCACAUGAUACGUGCUUGAAUUGUGUCUUUCAUCUCACAUACUCAAUUUCACACUUCUUAAUAAUCCCCUUAAAUUUCCUUACUUACAGGAAGCUGGUGAAGAGAGGAAAGAAAGGUUGGCACUGAAAGAGAGAUUCUCAGCUGACACAAAACAGCCCCACUGACAUCAUUUGUGUCAUGGCAGUUGAUAUCAGCUGAUGAUCUGCCCUUUAUAUUCAAAGAAUUCCAAAGUGGUGGCUAAAUAUGGGCACUGUAAGAAUCUCUCCACCAAACAGCUUCCAGUGCUGAUAAUGGAAUACGCAUCACUAAAAAGCAUAUGCGAUGUACCAAAAACCCAAAUACACACUCCAGCUGCUCUGGAGAUUACGGUUUAUAAUGCAGAUUAACGCAUCAUUUGAUUCCAGGAACAGAAAUGAUUCCAGCUCUAAUAUUGAUUCCCACCAUAAUAGGCGUAUUUACCUCUUUUUUUUUCUCUCUAGGUCACUUUGGCAUCUGUAAGCUGGAGGAUAAUAAGUUUUUUUUUUCUCCACCUCAAAAGGUGAAGGUGAGGCUGGGGUCCCAUAUGAGAUGUGGAAGUAGGGGAUAGGACUUUGUAGCCUAGACUGUGUGGGUCUGGAGUGCAGUGCCCCUGAAUGUCCCUACGAAGAGCAGAGGAUGAACCUGAUGCUUUCUGUCACUUCUGUUUGGCUCCUACUGAAGUGGGAAGAUGUUCUUCUCCAUUCAACAGUGAGCUGGGAAUUAAGGUCAGGACUUUACAGAUACCCUAAAUUUUGCAUGGAUGAGCUCAACCCUGGCAUAGCCAAGGAGAAGCUGUGGCUCCAUGUGAUGUCAGCCAGUUGUUCCCCAGAACAGCCAUAGGAACAGCACUGCUAAUCAACACCUGACCUCUCACAGAGGUAAUCACUGUGCACACAUUCCAAGCCUGCAAUGGUUUCCCUCACCCCAUUGCUCCUUUUCUACAUCAAGAGAGAGAAGGAGAGUUCUGGGCACAUUUUUCCUACCCCAUGCAGUUCCUCACCUAAAUCUCCCUUUGUCCCCAUUUCAAGACAAAGCUCACACCAAAGAAAGUGGUCGAUAUGAUCUAUACGAAGAAGAACGAUGCGGUUCUGCCUCAAAGAUGCUGUGUUUUACCAGCAGGUUACCAGGUAAGACGACUGAGUGCUUGGACUGAAAUUGGAGGCUUGUAAAAGGAAAUGAGCGCAGUGGUUAACCUUAAAACUGCAUUCAUGUGUGUACCCUGAACAAAUGCAGCUACGGAACGAUAAACAUGACCCAAAUCCUCUCCUUUAUCGGGGGAGGGGGAGGCUGAGGGGGGGGGGGGAAAGAAAGGAAGUGCUCUGUCUGUGUUUAUCUGCACCCAGAAGGGAGCAGGCUGGGGUGCUCCAGCCAUACGGAGGGGCUGCCAUCCGUCUGCCUCCCGACUUUCGGCUGAGUUUUGGCUGACGGCAGCCAACGUGAAUGUCACUGUUCAGCAGGGCAACGCGUUCAGGGCAAUGGGAUUCACUGCUUUCCUCCCACGGCAUUUUCAUCUCUCCAGGCAAAACGUAGGGUCUGCCUUUGCG